UGGGGAAUAUUGCACAAUGGGCGCAAGCCUGAUGCAGCCAUGCCGCGUGUAUGAAGAAGGCCUUCGGGUUGUAAAGUACUUUCAGUCGGGAGGAAGGUGGUAAGGUUAAUAACCUUGGCAAUUGACGUUACCGACAGAAGAAGCACCGGCUAACUCCGUGCCAGCAGCCGCGGUAAUACGGAGGGUGCAAGCGUUAAUCGGAAUUACUGGGCGUAAAGCGCACGCAGGCGGUUGAUUGAGUCAGAUGUGAAAUCCCCGGGCUUAACCCGGGAAUUGCAUCUGAUACUGGUCAGCUAGAGUCUUGUAGAGGGGGGUAGAAUUCCAUGUGUAGCGGUGAAAUGCGUAGAGAUGUGGAGGAAUACCGGUGGCGAAGGCGGCCCCCUGGACAAAGACUGAUGCUCAGGUGCGAAAGCGUGGGGAGCAAACAGG
RNAcentral lists this ribosomal RNA (429 nucleotides) under Chloroflexota bacterium. Its description in RNAcentral is "Chloroflexi bacterium partial 16S ribosomal RNA". It matches the Rfam family "Bacterial small subunit ribosomal RNA", at positions 355 to 776 of the family's 1533-position model. Lineage: Bacteria; Bacillati; Chloroflexota. The record is from RNAcentral.